GGGGAUGUAGCUCAGCUGGGAGAGCGGCGCCUUUGCAAGGCGUAGGUCAAGGGUUCGAGUCCCUUCAUCUCCA
This is a non-coding RNA of Beta vulgaris subsp. vulgaris (sugar beet), 73 nucleotides long. NCBI's taxonomy places the organism in Eukaryota, Viridiplantae, Streptophyta, Magnoliopsida, Caryophyllales, Amaranthaceae. The record is from Rfam.